UCUUCUUUUUUUUUUCUCUUCUCCUUUCCUUUUCUUUCCUUAUUUUUCUUUCUUUCCUCCCCUUUCCUUUUCUUUCCUUCUUUUUCUUUCUUUCCUCUCCUUUCCUUUUCCUUCUUUUUCUGUCUUCCUUUCUUUCUUCUUCUUCCCCUCUCCUUCUUCCCCCCACCAACCGGCCACCCUUAAAUUCAAGGGUGGUGCCGCCAACCUGGUUCCCUCCACUGGUGCCGCCAACCUGCUUCCCUUGUUUGGUGCCGCCAACCUGCUUCCCUCCACCCAGGGAGUUGUCAAAUCAGUUCAGUUUUUUUUUUCUAUUUUUUAUUUUU
This 323-nucleotide long non-coding RNA is filed under the name Gossypium raimondii (Peruvian cotton). RNAcentral's name for it is "long non-coding RNA (GRAI_LNC001536)". The record is from RNAcentral. Lineage: Eukaryota; Viridiplantae; Streptophyta; Magnoliopsida; Malvales; Malvaceae.